CUGGGACUCGCUUCUCCCGGACGGCACUGCGGGGGCGGCGAAGCCAGGGGGCGGUCAGGGCGGUGCCGCCCACUCCGGCCCUUUCCCACAGCGCCGCCGGGGUGGCGCCGGAGCAGCAGUGCCCAGGGGCUCCGGCCUCUGCGACGAACAGCUGGCGGAUCCCGAGUGGAUGCAUGAGGUGAUUUGA
RNAcentral lists this long non-coding RNA (187 nucleotides) under Neogale vison (American mink). RNAcentral describes it as "Neovison vison (American mink) lncRNA (ENSNVIG00000003198.1)". The record is from RNAcentral. Lineage: Eukaryota; Metazoa; Chordata; Mammalia; Carnivora; Mustelidae.